UUUACUCUUUCGCUUUGGUAGGAGAGCGUUCUAAGUGCUGCGAAGUCAGACCGUGAGGACUGGUGGAGCGCUUAGAAGUGAGAAUGCCGGUAUGAGUAGCGAAAUAGAAGUGAGAAUCUUCUACACCGAAUGCCUAAGGUUUCCUGAGGAAGGCUCGUCCGCUCAGGGUUAGUCGGGACCUAAGCCGAGGCCGAAAGGCGUAGGCGAUGGACAACAGGUUGAUAUUCCUGUACCACCUCAUAAUCGUUUGAACGAUGGGGGGACGCAGUAGGAUAAGGAAUGCGCGCCGCUGGAUGUGCGCGCCCAAGCAGUGAGUGAGUCAGAUAGGCAAAUCCGUCUGGCAAUCACAAGCUGUGAUGGGGAGGGAACUAUAGUACCGAAGUUCCUGAUUUCACACUGCCAAGAAAAGCCUCUAGUGAGAUUAUAGGUGCCCGUACCGCAAACCGACACAGGUAGGCGAGGAGAGAAUCCUAAGGUGAUCGGGAGAACUCUCGUUAAGGAACUCGGCAAAAUGACCCCGUAACUUCGGGAGAAGGGGUGCUUCUUGCAUGAGAAGCCGCAGUGAAAAGGCCCAAGCGACUGUUUAGCAAAAACACAGGUCUCUGCGAAGCCGUAAGGCGAAGUAUAGGGGCUGACACCUGCCCGGUGCUGGAAGGUUAAGGGGAUGCGUUAGUCUUUGACGAAGCGUUGAACCGAAGCCCCAGUAAACGGCGGCCGUAACUAUAACGGUCCUAAGGUAGCGAAAUUCCUUGUCGGGUAAGUUCCGACCCGCACGAAAGGUGCAACGACUUGGGCACUGUCUCAACGAGAGACCCGGUGAAAUUAUACUAUGCGUGAAGAUGCGCAUUACCCGCGACAGGACGGAAAGACCCCGUGGAGCUUUACUGUAGCCUGAUAUUGAAUGUUGGUACAGCUUGUACAGGAUAGGUGGGAGCCUAAGAAGCGUGAGCGCUAGCUUACGUGGAGGCGUCGGUGGGAUACCACCCUGGCUGUACGGACCUUCUAACCCACGACCGUGAUCCGGU
RNAcentral lists this ribosomal RNA (1025 nucleotides) under Aquibacillus salsiterrae. RNAcentral describes it as "Bacterial large subunit ribosomal RNA". It matches the Rfam family "Bacterial large subunit ribosomal RNA", at positions 1214 to 2244 of the family's 2925-position model. The record is from Rfam by way of RNAcentral. Lineage: Bacteria; Bacillati; Bacillota; Bacilli; Caryophanales; Bacillaceae.